RNAcentral lists this transfer RNA (86 nucleotides) under bacterium HR10. RNAcentral's name for it is "tRNA-Leu". It matches the Rfam family "tRNA". From Rfam's summary of the family: Transfer RNA (tRNA) molecules are approximately 80 nucleotides in length. Their secondary structure includes four short double-helical elements and three loops (D, anti-codon, and T loops). RNAcentral also lists the same sequence under 1 other name. The record is from RNAcentral.
GCGAAAGUGGCGGAACUGGGAGACGCGCCAGACUUAGGAUCUGGUGGCCAUAGGCCGUGGGGGUUCGAAUCCCCCCUUUCGCACCA